Molecule: unclassified non-coding RNA, 240 nt
Filed under: soil metagenome
Description: partial contains 5.8S ribosomal RNA, internal transcribed spacer 2, and large subunit ribosomal RNA
Source: RNAcentral
AACGCACGAGACCUGCGGACCUGCGGAAGGAUCAUUAUUGAAUCAAUGGAUUUGAGCUGUUGCUGGCUUCUCAAGCAUAUGUGCACGCUCAUUUCCUUCUUUCUCUACAACCCUCCAUGUGCACUCGUGUAGUUCCACAAAACAUGUUUCAAACCUGCUUGUUGGUUUGGAAUUGAGAAAUUGCGGUUAUUGUCAUUCCUGCUUUUCUUGAUUUUGGUUCUACGUUUUUGUCUUUAUAAA